Molecule: long non-coding RNA, 690 nt
Filed under: Musa acuminata (dwarf banana)
Lineage: Eukaryota; Viridiplantae; Streptophyta; Magnoliopsida; Zingiberales; Musaceae
Description: long non-coding RNA (MACU_LNC011833)
Source: RNAcentral
CGGAACUCUUGAACACACUGAACCCCUCCACAGCAUCUCAUACACCAAAUCCCAAACAAGAUUAUGACAUGUAAACGAAGCUCGCAUCACACAAAAGGUGCGUGUAGGUAAGCCAGAGAUGCAACCAGAAGAGUCCUUAUCCUUGUGCUUUCGCUUCUUCUCCUUCUUGUUCGCCUUCACCUUCAGCAAGGUGUCCGGCGCUGCAUCCGCUAUGCCCUCAAGAUCAUCCGGUUCCUUCUUCGGCUGCUGCAACAAAGAACAAAGAUUCAAGGAUUAAAGUCAAUCCAAACAGGGAAUUGGUUCAUAGACCAGCACAAAAUCGGUUGUAAUGGUUGUCCAAGUAUCUUAUAUUGCCAACUAAAAGGGCUCUUUAGCAGAUGUAUAAUAGUCUAUGUAAAAUAGAGUAGAAAGGCAUCUGUAAACCAAAGAAGAAGGUAGGAACAAUAUGUCAUACCAUAGAAGAGGCUUAGGAACAUCAUGGUCUUGCAUAAUUACCAAAAUUAAAGUUAUGGCUUUUGUUCUGACAACAAAUAGUGAGAAAAUGUCUUCAGCUAGUGAAGGUGAAACAAAGGUAGAGGAAGCUGACGGACAGUGCUUCAGCAACUGCAGUGCUUGUAAUUUAAAGUUUCAGUAAUGAUUGUGAAAGGUCUAAGAAGAGUAAACAGACAAAAAACCAAUAAAUUUCAUUAC